CCUACGGGAGGCAGCAGUGAGGAAUAUUGGUCAAUGGGCGCGAGCCUGAACCAGUCAAGUAGCGUGAAGGAUGACUGCCCUACGGGUUGUAAACUUCUUUUAUAAAGGAGUAAAGUGAGGCACGUGUGCCUUUUUGUAUGUACUUUAUGAAUAAGGAUCGGCUAACUCCGUGCCAGCCGCCGCGGUAAUACGGAGGAUCCGAGCGUUAUCCGGAUUUAUUGGGUUUAAAGGGGGCGGAGAUGGGUUGUUAAGUCAGUUGUGAAAGUUUGCGGCUUAACCGUAAAAGUGCAUUUGAUACUGGCAGUCUUGAGUACAGGUGAGGUAGGCAGAAUUCGUGGUGUAGCGGUGAAAUGCUUAGAUAUCACGAAGAACUCCGAUUGCGAAGGCAGCUUACUAAACUGCCACUGACAUUGAUGCUCGAAAGUGUGGGUAUCAAACAGGAUUAGAUACCCUAGUAGUC
This 460-nucleotide ribosomal RNA is filed under the name uncultured bacterium. RNAcentral's name for it is "partial 16S ribosomal RNA". It matches the Rfam family "Bacterial small subunit ribosomal RNA", at positions 338 to 795 of the family's 1533-position model. The record is from RNAcentral.